UAUUCACUUGGGCAUUACUUUUUAUUUAGCAUAUAUUUAAAAUAUAUUUUUGGCCAGAGAAAUGUAUUUUUUGCCAUAUGGGGAUUGAAAAACUGCCUUGAAUGACACCAUGGGAAUUCAUCUGCAUGCAGUCAUAGUGUUCCUGGAAGACCAGAAAAGUUCUUGCAGAUGUGUAAUUUCCUGUAAAGUCUACACAAUCUGUCAUCAUACUGCAUUUGUGACCCUGUCUGUAAAAUCCAGGAAAACGCUCAUAACAUAUUUGUGGGAUUAGGAGCAUCAAUGUUUGAUUCAGUCAUUGAUUUCUCAUACGGCAAAAAUAAAUUUCUUUGGCCAAAAUAUGUUUUAAAUAUAUGCUAAAAAAACAUUUUGUAGAAAGGAAAGCAUAAUUAGAUCUAUUUUUGAAUUUGAAAAUACAUUUAAUUUUAGUUUUAAUAUCAUAUAUUAACAUAUAACGUUAAUUCAAAAUCUAUUUCAGGGGCAACAAAUACAUUUCUAAUAUUACAACCUAUAUAGUAAAAAUGUAUUUUCCUUUUCAAUAUAUAAUUUUUUAUGUAUACAGUAUAAGGAAGAAAUAUAAAAGUAUGUAUAAAAUAUAGCUUCAAGAAAGUUGAGAUGCAUUUGCCGGGAAUCGAACCCGGACACCGAGAAUCAGCUAAACGGCUAAACGCUUAUCCAUUCAUUUCCAAUAGUAGUGCUAAACCACUACGGAUGCAAUAUACUUUUGGCCGCUACGCAUUCUGGCGCUGUUGCGCAGUUUUAUUUGGCGGAAGUUUCCAAAAAGUUUAUUCUAGGUGAACUCCAGCGGAGGAGACAACAGCUUACCGUCGAUUCUUCAUUUAUUUAAGGACCCAUGCACACACACAAGACAGACAGCAGGUCUGCCCCCUCCCCAGGUUCACAGAGAAGAUAAGGAUCAAAAGAUGUGUGAAAACCAAUUGACCUUUUGAACUGUGAACUUCACAGGUCAGCAAAGUGAAACAGCAGCACAUUUUCUUUAUCAGGUCAGGAUGCACAAGAACGUGGUGUUCUUCCCAGGGAGAAUCUGUGUCGUGUUCCGCAAGGGACCGCACAGAUUUUUUCCUCCAGGAGCAGUCCGAUGAAGCCAGGCGGAUAAAGAACAACCCGACUCUUCAGGAGAAGUCUGUGCAACUGAAGGAGGAGCUUGUGUGGCAGAACGCUCUUGCUGUGGUGCGUCAGAGAGGAGGAGAUGCCUCAGACAGGACGGAGGUGCUGGGAGACAACAUCCUUCAAUUUGGAAAGUACCAAGGGAAAUCCUUUAGGUGGCUUUUGAAGAAUGAUGUAGGAUACACAAUGUAUCAAAUUCGGAACCUCCAGAAGGAGCAGGCCUCAGGUGUUUGUAUGGCUGAAGGGGCAUAAG
Non-coding RNA from Paramisgurnus dabryanus, 1378 nucleotides. The record is from RefSeq and is a predicted model, not a curated record. Lineage: Eukaryota; Metazoa; Chordata; Actinopteri; Cypriniformes; Cobitidae.